Schistosoma rodhaini is the source of this 45-nucleotide non-coding RNA. The record is from Rfam. Lineage: Eukaryota; Metazoa; Platyhelminthes; Trematoda; Strigeidida; Schistosomatidae.
ACUCAGCUGAAGAGUCCCAAAUAGGACUUGACGUGCGUCCUGGAU